CUCAUCAUCGAAAAGAAAACAUAGACAAAACAGAUUUAUUUCAAUGACAUAUCUAAUCAGACUGAAAUUAAUGUCGAAGACACGAUCAUUCACAUCAAUUGAAGCAGGCAGGAAGGGCACGGAAGCUACCGUUUAACGAAUGCAACGCAAGCAAGGUAG
This 159-nucleotide ribosomal RNA is filed under the name Triticum aestivum (bread wheat). Its description in RNAcentral is "partial small subunit ribosomal RNA". The record is from RNAcentral. Lineage: Eukaryota; Viridiplantae; Streptophyta; Magnoliopsida; Poales; Poaceae.